AUGAACGCUAGCUACAGGCUUAACACAUGCAAGUCGAGGGGAAACGACAUCGAAAGCUUGCUUUUGAUGGGCGUCGACCGGCGCACGGGUGAGUAACGCGUAUCCAACCUGCCCACCACUUGGGGAUAACCUUGCGAAAGUAAGACUAAUACCCAAUGAUAUCUCUAGAAGACAUCUGAAGGAGAUUAAAGAUUUAUCGGUGAUGGAUGGGGAUGCGUCUGAUUAGCUUGUUGGCGGGGUAACGGCCCACCAAGGCGACGAUCAGUAGGGGUUCUGAGAGGAAGGUCCCCCACAUUGGAACUGAGACACGGUCCAAACUCCUACGGGAGGCAGCAGUGAGGAAUAUUGGUCAAUGGACGAGAGUCUGAACCAGCCAAGUAGCGUGCAGGAUGAGGGCCCUAUGGGUUGUAAACUGCUUUUAUAAGGGAAUAAAGUGAGUCUCGUGAGACUUUUUGCAUGUACCUUAUGAAUAAGGACCGGCUAAUUCCGUGCCAGCAGCCGCGGUAAUACGGAAGGUCCGGGCGUUAUCCGGAUUUAUUGGGUUUAAAGGGAGCGUAGGCCGGAGAUUAAGCGUGUUGUGAAAUGUAGACGCUCAACGUCUGCACUGCAGCGCGAACUGGUUUCCUUGAGUACGCACAAAGUGGGCGGAAUUCGUGGUGUAGCAGUGAAAUGCUUAGAUAUCACGAAGAACUCCGACUGCGAAGGCAGCUCACUGGAGCGCAACUGACGCUGAAGCUCGAAAGUGCGGGUAUCGAACAGGAUUAGAUACCCUGGUAGUCCGCACGGUAAACGAUGGAUGCCCGCAGUUGGUCUGAAUAGGUCAGCGGCCA
Molecule: ribosomal RNA, 830 nt
Filed under: uncultured bacterium
Lineage: Bacteria
Also listed under: 1 other name
Description: bacterial SSU rRNA
Rfam family: Bacterial small subunit ribosomal RNA
Source: RNAcentral